RNAcentral lists this unclassified non-coding RNA (24 nucleotides) under Mus musculus (house mouse). Its description in RNAcentral is "oocyte_clustered_small_RNA13785". The record is from RNAcentral. Lineage: Eukaryota; Metazoa; Chordata; Mammalia; Rodentia; Muridae.
UCCCUGAGACGGCCACCCAGCCUG